UCAUCGUCAUUGAAUGCCGGUGGUUGGC
This 28-nucleotide small RNA is filed under the name Bombyx mori (domestic silkworm). RNAcentral's name for it is "ovarian small RNA-26139". Lineage: Eukaryota; Metazoa; Arthropoda; Insecta; Lepidoptera; Bombycidae. The record is from RNAcentral.